RNAcentral lists this ribosomal RNA (813 nucleotides) under Fusarium solani. RNAcentral describes it as "eukaryotic LSU rRNA". It matches the Rfam family "Eukaryotic large subunit ribosomal RNA", at positions 76 to 919 of the family's 3401-position model. The record is from RNAcentral. Lineage: Eukaryota; Fungi; Ascomycota; Sordariomycetes; Hypocreales; Nectriaceae.
UGCCCCAGUAACGGCGAGUGAAGCGGCAACAGCUCAAAUUUGAAAUCUGGCUCUCGGGCCCGAGUUGUAAUUUGUAGAGGAUGCUUUUGGUGAGGUGCCUUCCGAGUUCCCUGGAACGGGACGCCAUAGAGGGUGAGAGCCCCGUCUGGUUGGACACCGAACCUCUGUAAAGCUCCUUCGACGAGUCGAGUAGUUUGGGAAUGCUGCUCUAAAUGGGAGGUAUAUGUCUUCUAAAGCUAAAUACCGGCCAGAGACCGAUAGCGCACAAGUAGAGUGAUCGAAAGAUGAAAAGAACUUUGAAAAGAGAGUUAAACAGUACGUGAAAUUGUUGAAAGGGAAGCGCUUGUGACCAGACUUGGGCUUGGUUGAUCAUCCGGGGUUCUCCCCGGUGCACUCUUCCGGCCCAGGCCAGCAUCAGUUCGCCCUGGGGGACAAAGGCAUCGGGAACGUGGCUCUCUCCGGGGAGUGUUAUAGCCCGUUGCGUAAUACCCUGCGGCGGACUGAGGUUCGCGCAUUCGCAAGGAUGCUGGCGUAAUGGUCAUCAGUGACCCGUCUUGAAACACGGACCAAGGAGUCGUCUUCGUAUGCGAGUGUUCGGGUGUCAAACCCCUACGCGAAAUGAAAGUGAACGCAGGUGAGAGCUUCGGCGCAUCAUCGACCGAUCCUGAUGUUAUCGGAUGGAUUUGAGUAAGAGCAUACGGGGCCGGACCCGAAAGAAGGUGAACUAUGCCUGUGUAGGGUGAAGCCAGAGGAAACUCUGGUGGAGGCUCGCAGCGGUUCUGACGUGCAAAUCGAUCGUCAAACAUGGGCAUG